RNAcentral lists this ribosomal RNA (1431 nucleotides) under uncultured organism. RNAcentral's name for it is "16S ribosomal RNA". It matches the Rfam family "Bacterial small subunit ribosomal RNA". The record is from RNAcentral.
CAGGCUUAACACAUGCAAGUCGAGGGGCAGCAUCAUCAAAGCUUGCUUUGAUGGAUGGCGACCGGCGCACGGGUGAGUAACACGUAUCCAACCUGCCGACAACACUGGGAUAGCCUUUCGAAAGAAAGAUUAAUACCGGAUGGCAUAGUUUUCCCCGCAUGGGAUGACUAUUAAAGAAUUUCGGUUGUCGAUGGGGAUGCGUUCCAUUAGGCAGUUGGCGGGGUAACGGCCCACCAAACCGACGAUGGAUAGGGGUUCUGAGAGGAAGGUCCCCCACAUUGGAACUGAGACACGGUCCAAACUCCUACGGGAGGCAGCAGUGAGGAAUAUUGGUCAAUGGACGAGAGUCUGAACCAGCCAAGUAGCGUGAAGGAUGACUGCCCUAUGGGUUGUAAACUUCUUUUAUACGGGAAUAAAGUUAGCCACGUGUGGCUUUUUGUAUGUACCGUAUGAAUAAGGAUCGGCUAACUCCGUGCCAGCAGCCGCGGUAAUACGGAGGAUCCGAGCGUUAUCCGGAUUUAUUGGGUUUAAAGGGAGCGUAGGCGGGUUGUUAAGUCAGUUGUGAAAGUUUGCGGCUCAACCGUAAAAUUGCAGUUGAUACUGGCGACCUUGAGUGCAACAGAGGUAGGCGGAAUUCGUGGUGUAGCGGUGAAAUGCUUAGAUAUCACGAAGAACUCCGAUUGCGAAGGCAGCUUACUGGAUUGUAACUGACGCUGAUGCUCGAAAGUGUGGGUAUCAAACAGGAUUAGAUACCCUGGUAGUCCACACAGUAAACGAUGAAUACUCGCUGUUGGCGAUAUACAGUCAGCGGCCAAGCGAAAGCAUUAAGUAUUCCACCUGGGGAGUACGCCGGCAACGGUGAAACUCAAAGGAAUUGACGGGGGCCCGCACAAGCGGAGGAACAUGUGGUUUAAUUCGAUGAUACGCGAGGAACCUUACCCGGGCUUAAAUUGCAACUGACUGAACCGGAAACGGUUCUUUCUUCGGACAGUUGUGAAGGUGCUGCAUGGUUGUCGUCAGCUCGUGCCGUGAGGUGUCGGCUUAAGUGCCAUAACGAGCGCAACCCUUAUCGAUAGUUACUAGCAGGUCAUGCUGAGGACUCUAUUGAGACUGCCGUCGUAAGAUGUGAGGAAGGUGGGGAUGACGUCAAAUCAGCACGGCCCUUACGUCCGGGGCUACACACGUGUUACAAUGGGGGGUACAGAAGGCAGCUACACGGCGACGUGGUGCUAAUCCCGAAAGCCUCUCUCAGUUCGGAUUGGAGUCUGCAACCCGACUCCACGAAGCUGGAUUCGCUAGUAAUCGCGCAUCAGCCACGGCGCGGUGAAUACGUUCCCGGGCCUUGUACACACCGCCCGUCAAGCCAUGAAAGCCGGGGGUACCUGAAGUACGUAACCGCAAGGAGCGUCCUAGGGUAAAACUGGUGAUUGG